RNAcentral lists this ribosomal RNA (253 nucleotides) under uncultured bacterium. Its description in RNAcentral is "partial 16S ribosomal RNA". It matches the Rfam family "Bacterial small subunit ribosomal RNA", at positions 524 to 776 of the family's 1533-position model. The record is from RNAcentral.
UACGGAGGGUGCAAGCGUUGUUCGGAAUUACUGGGCGUAAAGAGCGUGUAGGCGGCCGAUCAAGUCCGGUGUGAAAGCCCGGGGCUUACCCCCGGAAGUGCGCUGGAAACUGAUUGGCUCGGGUAUGGGAGAGGGAAGUGGAAUUCCUGGUGUAGCGGUGAAAUGCGUAGAUAUCAGGAGGAACACCGGCGGCGAAGGCGGCUUCCUGGACCAAUACUGACGCUGAGACGCGAAAGCGUGGGGAGCAAACAGG